This is a small nuclear RNA of Sorex fumeus (smoky shrew), 112 nucleotides long. Lineage: Eukaryota; Metazoa; Chordata; Mammalia; Eulipotyphla; Soricidae. The record is from RefSeq and is a predicted model, not a curated record.
GUGCUCACUUCAGCAGCACAUAUACUAAAAUUGGAAUAGAAUUAUACAGAGAAGAUUAGUAUGGCUCCUGAGCAAAGAUGACAUAUGAAUUUAUGAAGCAUUUUGUAUUUUU